RNAcentral lists this unclassified non-coding RNA (508 nucleotides) under Hevea brasiliensis (rubber tree). Lineage: Eukaryota; Viridiplantae; Streptophyta; Magnoliopsida; Malpighiales; Euphorbiaceae. The record is from RNAcentral.
CCAGGGGUCCUUCCAAUAACUAAAUGACGAAUCUGGCACCUUGACCCCCACCUAAAACCUCCUCUCUUUGCUUACUGGGGGCAACAAAACCAAAACUCCAGCUUUUGAUAUUCUUGUUUCUCUAUACUUCUAUUGCUUUUUGUGGUGUAAAAUUCUUAUCACGAGAUUGCGAACGAAGAUGGGUUGCUGUCCCAGCCAAAACGCCGAUUCCAAAGCCAGCAGGACCGCCCGUUGGCGAUCCACGGGCAUUGUUGCCCUGCGUGAUGCUAAAUUGAAGACUUUUCCGGAUGAGGUUCUUGAUUUAGACAAAAGUGUGCGCACCCUCGAUUUAACUCACAACAAAUUAGUUGGCAUUCCUAUGGAGAUUAGCCAAUUAGUCAACAUGCAGCGCCUGGUUUUGGCUGAUAAUCUUAUUGAGCGACUACCAAUUAACUUGGGGAAGCUGCAGUCUUUAAAAGUUAUGAUACUCGAUGGGAAUCAAAUUACUUCCUUGCCUGAUGAAAUGGGC